Molecule: long non-coding RNA, 1545 nt
Filed under: Callithrix jacchus (white-tufted-ear marmoset)
Lineage: Eukaryota; Metazoa; Chordata; Mammalia; Primates; Cebidae
Description: lncRNA (ENSCJAG00000079151.1)
Source: RNAcentral
AUGGCUGCCCGAUACGGAAAGGCUUUUCAGGGCUGUGUUCCACCCCUUUCCUGUUCUCUCAGGGAGAAAGAGUGGAAUGGUAGGACACGGUGUGAAGGGGUUUCCAGAUCCCCAGAUGGCAGGUGGGACAGCUUGCCUGCCCAUCAAAGAAGUUGCCUCCUGGAGACACAUCUGGGCAUUCUGGCAGGAGGAGCAAGAGAGGCACUGUGUGUGUGUGUGUGUGAUUGUGUGCAUGAGUGUGCAAGUGUGUAUGUGUGUAUGUAUAAGAGUGUGUGUGUGAGAGAGAGUGUGGGUGGGUGAGUGUGUGUGUGUGAUAGUGUGAGUGUGUGUGAGUGUAUUUGUGUGUAUGUAUGUGAGUGUGGGUGACUGAAAGUGUGUAAUGAGUUGGGUUUCCUUUUCACGCUUUCCUGGAUUUGCUACCAUGAUCAACUAUGACUUUUACACUCUCAAUAGGGAAAUUAACUGCUAAGGAGGCUGAGACUGGAGGACCACUUGAACCCAGAAGGUUGAGGCUGUAGUGAGCCACUGCCCUCCAGCCUGGACAACAGAGCAAGACCAUGUCUCAAAAAAAAUAAAUAAAUAAAAGAGAGUGAGAAAGAGAUGCAGAGUUAGAAAUUGCAGCGGAUGUUGACUGAGCAUUUGUUGAGUAGUGCCUGCCGUGGUGAGAGCACACCUUUAAGGGAGAGCACAGAAGCACGGAGCUGGGCUGGCAUCCAGCGGGUGUGUAGCAGUAGGUCUGGCAUCGGUCCUGACGAUCAGGAACCUAUUCUGACCGAUCAUGCCCAUUGAUAAGCAUUUUGAAAUCUUUCCUGGCUGGAAGCCAUGGUCUCUGCUUCGGAAGGAAGAUUCGAUCCUGUGGCCAAUUCCCUUCCCCCAGCCAGCAGCCCCAGUCCAAUGAGGGACUCACUAUGUUGACCUCUGUGCUCUUUAAAGACACCUGUGUCGGAGGAUUCUACCAGCUCCCUCCUGGGCUCCUCAUUUAAAAACUCCCAGGCUUUAGAGUUGGGAAUUGCACCUCAAGGUUGGUGUCCACACUCCAGAGCUGAAGACCUCAGCCCUGGCUGCCUGUUUAAGAAAAUACCAAGGGCUGCAUGCAGUGGUUCAUGCCUGUAAUCCCAGCACUUUUGGAGGCUGAAGUGGGAGGAUGGGUUGAGGCCAGGAAUUUGAGACCAGCCCAGGCAACACAGCAAGAUUCUGUCUUUACAAAGAACAUGAAAAAAAAAAAAAAAAAAAGAUUAGCUGGGUGUGGUGGUGUGCACCUGUGGUCCUAGCUACUCAGGAGACUGAGGCAGGAGAAUUGCUUGAGCCUGGGAGGUUGAGGCUGCAGUGAGGUGUGAUUGCACCACUGCACUCCAGCCUGACCACAGAGCAAGAUGUUGUCUCCAAUCAAUGAAUACCAACGCCGGAGCUGCACCCCACACCUGUUAAGCUGGAGAGUCUGGGGUAAGCCCAGAGCAGGGGUAUUUUGGAACUUUCUUGAGAUGGCUCUGCUGCGCAGCCACAGUUGAGAACCACUGAGGCAUCCCGGCAGAUGGAAAAAGCCCC